Long non-coding RNA from Pieris rapae (cabbage white), 314 nucleotides. RefSeq lists it as uncharacterized. The record is from RefSeq and is a predicted model, not a curated record. Lineage: Eukaryota; Metazoa; Arthropoda; Insecta; Lepidoptera; Pieridae. The transcript has 2 exons.
AAGGAAAACAUAUAUAAACUCCAGUAAAAUCAAUAUUGCUUCAUUCAAAACCUGUUCAUAAUCAAGGCUUUAUUGAGUAAAAUCAUAAUGAAAUUGUUUAUAAUUGUCGUCACUAUCUUCUUGGCUAUGUUUGCUGUUAUCAACGCUGGACCAGUUCAAGAACUGGAUGAGAUUAAUGGUCGACUGCGAGUACGCCGAGAGGAUUGUAAUCUGAGGGAGUGUAACGACUCUUGUAAGCGCAUCUUCCUUCCCGGAGGUGUCUGCGUUAGAAACAAAUGCAAAUGCGAUAUUUUGUAAUAAAUAAAUAAUUUUGA